This is a long non-coding RNA of Anolis carolinensis (green anole), 1386 nucleotides long. The record is from Ensembl. Lineage: Eukaryota; Metazoa; Chordata; Lepidosauria; Squamata; Anolidae.
AUGGGAAUCAGCGGUGCCUUGACAAAGAAAAUAGAUUCUUGCAAAGGUGUAAGACAAGGAUGUUUAUUGGCCCCUUUACUUUUCAACCUUUAUAUCAAUGACCUGCCAGAGCACCUCAGCAGCCCUGAGGUCCACAUGCCUAAAAUAGGUAACAGACACAUAAAUACCCUUCUAUACGCGGAUGAUAUGGUUUUGAUGUCUAGUACUCAAAUAGGAUUACGAAGACUAUUGAUUAAACUUAACACGUACGCCCACAAAAACGAGCUGACAAUAAACAAAUCCAAGUCAAAAAUCAUGGUUUUUGGAAAGCACCCAUCUAGACACAAAUGGGUCCUAGAUGCAGAGUGCAUAGAACAGGUGAGCUCUUUUACAUACCUAGGCUUAGUAUACUCAGAAACUGGCUCUUGGCUGGCACACUCCCAAUCUUGCGCGAUCAAAACUAGGGCACGCUCCAAUACACUGGCAAGAUUGCUAACCCACAGAUAUCCUGGCUCUUUAACUCCAAUAAUCAAAGUUUAUAAAGCAAAAAUCCUCCCCAUAAUAUUAUAUGGAGCAGAAAUCUGGGGCCUAACCAGAUUACCAAUAUUGGAACAAACACAAUCAAAAUUUUUAAGACAGAUCCUUGGCGUUGACACUAAGACCACCGCUGCUGCAGUCAGAGCAGAGUUAGAAAUAUAUUCUAUUGAAGGACUUGCCAAAAUCAGGGCCUUUAAUUACUGGGCUAAAAUAAAAAAUCUCGAAAAUAACAGACUCCCAAAAUUGUGCUUCUUAGAACAAUCUAAUGGCCAAAACCAGGAUUCAUGGACAGAACAACUAACUAGGUAUCUUCACAUCUGUGGAUUACAAAUUACUUCCUUAGGCCAGAAUAGGGAGGCUGAAAGAAGGACAGUAACCCAAAGGAUCCUAGAUAUUGAAGCCCAGAAAGACAUAGCCACCCUGUCAAACACAGGAUCUCUGAAGUGGUUAGGACGUUUUAAACAUAAUUUCCAGCGGGCGUUAUACCUAAAAGCAGAUAUGCCACGACAUCUAAGAAUCGCGUUCACCAGGGCAAGAUUCGAACAAAGGGAGUCCAUGGAGAGACAUGGCAGAUUCAACCACAUCCCAUAUGGAGAAAGAUUAUGUAUUUGUGGCGCCCCUGAAGUCGAAAAUUUGAACCACGCUUUGCAUAAUUGUAACUUAUACGAAAAAGAAAGGAAACAAUACUUAUGGCCUUUUAUUUGUAAUAAAACAAGCUGGGACAUAGCAGCCAAAACUACAUUUUUAUUGGCCGGUUAUAACCCCAUUGUGACAACAAAAGUGGCCCUGUAUUUGCUUAAAACUGCUAAAAGGAGAUCGGAGUACAUAGAUCAGAUUGGGGUGCAGUGUAGGGGUGAUGAGGAUAGUUGA